RNAcentral lists this ribosomal RNA (846 nucleotides) under Plectosphaerella cucumerina. RNAcentral describes it as "partial large subunit ribosomal RNA". It matches the Rfam family "Eukaryotic large subunit ribosomal RNA", at positions 68 to 933 of the family's 3401-position model. The record is from RNAcentral. Lineage: Eukaryota; Fungi; Ascomycota; Sordariomycetes; Glomerellales; Plectosphaerellaceae.
ACAGGGAUUGCCCUAGUAACGGCGAGUGAAGCGGCAACAGCUCAAAUUUGAAAUCUGGCUCUUUCAGAGUCCGAGUUGUAAUUUGCAGAGGGCGCUUUGGUGUUGGCAGCGGUCCAAGUUCCUUGGAACAGGACGUCACAGAGGGUGAGAAUCCCGUACGUGGUCGCUAGCCUUCGCCGUGUAAAGCCCCUUCGACGAGUCGAGUUGUUUGGGAAUGCAGCUCUAAAUGGGAGGUAAAUUUCUUCUAAAGCUAAAUACUGGCCAGAGACCGAUAGCGCACAAGUAGAGUGAUCGAAAGAUGAAAAGCACUUUGGAAAGAGAGUCAAAUAGCACGUGAAAUUGUUGAAAGGGAAGCGCUUGCAGCCAGACUUGCCUGUAGUUGCUUAUCCGGACUUUUGUCCGGUGCACUCUUCUGCGGGCAGGCCAGCAUCAGUUUGGGCGGUUGGAUAAAGGUCUCUGUCAUGUACCUCUCUUCGGGGAGAACUUAUAGGGGAGACGACAUGCAACCAGCCUGGACUGAGGUCCGCGCAUCUGCUAGGAUGCUGGCGUAAUGGCUGUAAGCGGCCCGUCUUGAAACACGGACCAAGGAGUCUAACAUCUAUGCGAGUGUUUGGGUGUCAAGCCCAGACGCGUAAUGAAAGUGAACGGAGGUGGGAACCCUUUGGGUGCACCAUCGACCGAUCCUGAUGUCUUCGGAUGGAUUUGAGUAAGAGCAUGGCUGUUGGGACCCGAAAGAUGGUGAACUAUGCUUGAAUAGGGUGAAGCCAGAGGAAACUCUGGUGGAGGCUCGCAGCGGUUCUGACGUGCAAAUCGAUCGUCAAAUUUGGGCAUAGGGGCGAAAGACUA